AUGGUGAUCCACCGCACGGCCGUGCCCGCGCCUUCCGCCGCCUGUCUCCUCAAGGUUGGUCCAAAAAAGGAGGUAGCAGAAUGUAAGGAAAAGUUCGCAAGUUCAGUGGAUCCAACGGUUAGUCAAACUUUUAUGCUCGAUCGAGUUUUCAAUCCCGAGGGCAAGUCAUUCCCACCUAUGCGAGGAUUCAAGUAUUCCAGCUGGUCCCCGCUGGGCUGUGACGCGAAUGGAAGGUGCCUGCUUGCGGCUUUAACCAUGGACAAUCGAUUGACCAUCCACGCAAACCUCAACAGACUACAGUGGGUGCAGCUGGUGGACCUGACAGAAAUCUACGGGGAACGUUUGUAUGAAGCCAGCUACAAACUUUCCAAGGCUGACACUCCCAGGGGAGAACUAGGAGACUUCUCUGAAUUUCAGCGACGGCACAGCAUGCAGACUCCAGUGCGCAUGGAGUGGUCGGGCAUCUGCACCACUCAGCAGGUUAAACACAACAACGAAUGCCGGGAUGUCGGUAGCGUGCUCUUAGCAGUACUCUUUGAAAACGGUAACAUUGCAGUUUGGCAAUUUCAGCUUCCCUUUCUGGGUAAGGAAUCAAUUACUUCUUGCAAUACUAUCGAGUCCGGAAUAAAUUCCCCAAGUGUGUUGUCUUGGUGGGAAUAUGAACAUAACAACCGAAAGAUGAGCGGACUUAUUGUAGGUAGUGCUUUUGGACCAGUUAAGAUCCUUCCUGUCAAUCUAAAAGCAGUCAAAGGCUACUUUACGCUGAGACAACCCGUAGUCUUAUGGCAAGAAAUGGACCAGUUACCAGUGCAUAGUAUCAAAUGUAUUCCUCUUUACCACCCCUACCAGAAAUGUAGUUGUAGCUUAGUGGUGGCUGCAAGAGGAGCUUAUGUGUUUUGGUGUCUCCUGUUGAUAUCCAAAGCAGGUCUGAAUGUCCAUAAUUCCCACGUGACAGGGCUUCAUUCUUUGCCAAUCGUAUCUAUGACUGCAGACAAACAGAACGGCACGGUGUAUACGUGCUCCAGUGAUGGAAAGGUAAGGCAGCUGAUUCCUAUAUUCACAGACGUUGCCUUAAAGUUUGAGCACCAGCUGAUUAAGCUCUCAGAAGUGUUUGGCUCUGUCAGGACUCACGGAAUAGCUGUUAGCCCAUGUGGUGCGUACUUAGCAGUUAUUACGACAGAGGGCAUGACUAACGGUCUGCACCCAGUUAACAAAAACUACCAAGUUCAGUUUGUAACCCUUAAGACUUUUGAGGAGGCAGCUGCGCAGCUGUUGGAAUCUUCUGUUCAGAACCUUUUCCGGCAAGUGGACUUGACGGAUCUUGUACGCUGGAAAAUUUUGAAGGAUAAGCAUAUUCCUCAAUUCUUACAGGAAGCACUGGAUAAAAAGAUUGAGACCUGUGGUUCUACUUACUUCUGGCGGUUUAAGCUAUUUCUCCUGAGGAUUUUGUACCAGUCAAUGCAGAAAGCUCCCUCAGAGGUCAUGUGGAGACCUUCACACGAGGAUGCAAAGAUCUUGAUAUCGGAUUCCCCUGGAAUGGGCAGCACUGAAGAUGAUCAAGAGGAAGGAACUUCUAAACAAGCCAGCAAGCAGAGCCUAUGUGACACAGGCAAAGGUAUGGACAUAGAUGACACUGCAGAUGAUUCUCUUCCUCAGUCAAGUGACAUAGGAGGCCGCGAGCCAAUGGAAGAAAAGCUUCUUGAAAUACAGGCACAAAUUGAGGCAGUAGAAAUGCACUUGACACGAGAACACAUGAAACGGGUGUUGGGAGAAGUUUAUCUACACACAUGGAUUACAGAAAACACCAGUAUUCCCACCAGAGGAGUCUGUGACUUCUUAAUGUCCGAUGAUGGCUAUGAUGACAGAACAGCACGAGUGCUGAUUGGGCAUAUCUUAAAGAAAAUGAACAAACAGACUUUUCCAGAGCACUGCAGCUUGUGUAAAGAGAUCCUGCCAUUCACUGAUCGCAAACAGGCAGUCUGCUCCAAUGGACAUAUUUGGCUCAGGUGCUUUCUAACCUACCAGUCCUGUCAGAGUUUGGUAUACAGGAGGUGUUUGCUUCACGACAGCAUUGCACGGCAUCCAACCCCAGAAGAUCCUGAAUGGAUCAAGAGGUUAUUGCAAGGACCUUGCACGUUCUGUGAUUCUCCUGUGUUCUAGAGAAAAGCUAUGUAAAGAUUGAAAGUAUUUUCUCUACUGCAUAAGCUCCCUUCAGUCUCGAAGGAUAUAGAGCACAGGAAUACAGACUUUACUGGAGGGGGAAGACAUUGUCCACGGCCCUGUAAAUAGAACGUGGGAGGUUCUAGAAACUCCUUAAGUCCAGAGCCUGUUCCAUGCUCCAGAAACAGGAGUACAUCUGGAAGAGCGAGGUUAUAAAGCGGUUUGGAAAUGCGCCCCAUUGAAGCAUCAGCAGCUGGACACGCUUCCUUUUACUGGAAAGGAACUGAAGUCUUAAGCACGCAGUGUGAACUGUCCUUUCUGCCAACAACUGUGUGAUUGCCCAAAAGCUAGGACGGGAACAGCGGAGCUGCCUCUUGAAUGGUCUUGGCAGUAGACACUCAGUAUACCAUUGCCAGUUUAUUUAACCUGAUUUAUGACUGCUGGGAGAAUGGAAUUUUAAAGCCAAUGAUGUCGGCUUUGUCUGCAUGCCAGUGGAGAUCCUUUAGCACAAAGCUUUCACUUCUCACCCUGACCCAUUCACAACAGGUAAAGAGGUAUUGUGAUUUAAUUUUUUUUUUAAACCAUCACUGGUCCCUAAGUGUAUUUUUGACUAGUGUAGGCUUGACUAGUAGAGCGCACCUCAGACCAGUAACAUUUAACCUCUGAUGCUGAUCUUACGGGAUUUUUCUGCCCAGCUAGCAGCGGAGACUUCCUUCAGGAAACCUUUUAUCUGUCUUGGACUCACGACUUGCAGUUCUGGGAAUGUGGAGGUUAGUCCCGUUCCUGUUGGAGUACUGUAACAACCCGCAGGGCUGCAGCAGCACCUCGAUGCAUUAUCCCUCACAUUGUCCUAAUCAAAACCCUCGCUUUCAUCCCACACGGGGAAGGUGAGUGGGUGAGGAAGGUACGAGCACCUGCUGCCAGAUCCUCCUGCUAUUUUGCCAUUAGCAGAGUUGCCUUCUCAAACUAAUACACAGUGGAGUUAUCCAACAGUAAGGCCCAGUCUGUUUUGAGACACCAGGUGAAGCAUUCAAAGAAUAAAUCCCACAAAAUCGGAGAGUUUCUCUCACAAAGUUUUUACCCUAAGUUUUGCAAGGUAUCUCAAACAAGUGAAUAGUUGAAGGCUCUCCUCAGCCGCUUCGCCAUUUGGUGGUAAACACUGUGGCUGUUCCUGGUGCCUCAUCUCCAAAGGAAGAAUAACGCUCCAGCAGAGAGAGUAAGCGGUUCUUGAUGCACUGCUGCUUUUUUUGUUUUUUUUAAAAGGAUUGUGGUACUUGUUCUUGUGUCUGAGAAUUAAUAGCCAGAGAUGCCGUGUUCUGUGUCUGAAGCUCAUGUGUCAUUGUCCUUGAUAAGUAGCUCCUGAUAGCAUUCAAGAUUUGCUGCUCACACUGAUAACAAGAGUUUAUGCCUCCUCCACUGGGAUGAAGAAAUCCAGGCUAAUCCAGGUUCGAUGGAUAAGCAGAACAGCUCUGGACUGUACAGCUUCUUAGUGCCUUGGUGCUAGAUGCCAUUGUUUGAACUAAGGUGAAAGUUUGGGCUCAUGAGGACUCUGUCUUGGGUCUCCAAACUACACCUCCUGCUCUGGAAUUGGUGACAGUGGAACUCAUUGCUGCCUUUUACCUUAAUUCAGCUCUGGGUUGGGGACUUCAUCAUCCAAUCAUCCUUCCCUUUCAUAUGUUCCCCCAUCCUAUUAAUCCUCUUGUAUAUUUCUAGAGAGGAAAUAUUAUGGUUGCUAAUGCAUACAAACAGGCAAUAAGUAUUUCCCUGAUUUUCUUAAACUUACCAGGUUUUCACUGGCUAAUGCAUCAUCAGCGAUUAUGGGCAGCAUAACACCAUUGAUUCUAUCCUCAUUAAGGGUUUCUUGACAUAAAAGCACUGAAUGCAAACAUUUAUAGUCCUAGUUAAAGGCUAACAAAUCACACGUGUGCUGUUAUGCCCUAAACUAACAUUUACAGGAGACUUGUUUGUACAAGUUGAAUUUCUCAAAUACAGAGCCCGCCCUUUAUGAGUUACCCGGUUGGUGAAGCAGCGGACAGCCUUGCAGGCGCAGUUGCUGGACUGUGGCCACCCCCUGGAAGCAUUCAGGGCCAGGCUGGAUGGGGCUCUGAGCGACCUGCUCUAGUGGAAGGUGUCCCUGCCCAUGGCAGGGGCUUGGAACUAGAUGAUCUUUAAGGUCCCUUCCCACCCAAACCAUUCUGUGAUUCUGUGACUCUCAGUUGCCACCUACAGGUAUGGCAUCGGAGAGAGAACGAGGAAGAGAGCCAUCCCUGCUCCUCAGAGCCCUCACCACGGAGCAGGUCGGGGUUAAUCACUGAAGCUGUUGCUCUUUUGACAACAUCUGAACUUCGUGCACGAGAGACAGAUGUGCAAGGCCAGUUAGAUGCAGCUACCAGUAGAUUAUCUUCAAGGGGGCAGGACGGUGGCUGCAGGAAGAGGAAGGUACCGCUUCAUUCUCUCUAGUCUGCCUUUCUGCCUGAGCGGAGCUGGGUAUGUCAGCGAGAGACUACCACGUGCCUGCUUCCUGCCGUCAAUCAUGAUAAAAAGUGCUUGUUGGCAUUUUACAACCUAGUUCAUGCGUGUUUAUUGAAUUCUUUCUGGCAGUCACCUUGUAAGCGUGUAGUUGGUAGCAGUCCAAUACUUAACAAUAUAAUAAACUUCAAAAUUUGUUACUGCAGAGCACCAGUUCAUAUUUUUGCAGCUGGAAGGAAGGGCAAUAGCAGUCUUAGCGUCAAAGUGUUGGUAGUCAUGGCAAAAAGAUUGAUAGUAAGCAUCUAAAUUAACUGGAAGAAGGUGUUUAUGGGUUCUCAGUAAAUAAAGGUGAAAUGCUCAAAGUAGUUAGCAAUACUACAUCUGUCCUCAUCCCCCUCUUGUAUUCCCUUUUGAAGCUUUCUGUAUGAGACCUGUAAACGCACAAAUCACACUGGUUAUACUCCGGACUUAGACCUAAAGUGGGUAGGGUUUAUUCUUUAACCAAACUGGUACAAAUGUCUGUGUGGAGAUGCCUGCUAGUUUACAGCUCCGCUGGUAAAUACCAGGUUGGAAAGCUGCUUUUUUUCUCCUCCGUGUGGGUAAACAAGGACAACUUGAGCUUGGCUCUACUCAUCUGGAGCCCUGUCCUACCUGUCGAAGGUGCAGGAAUCUUAACAAGACGGAGUCGAGCUGCCUCUUGGAAGUCUCAAGCCAGGAUAGUUUUUUCACAACUUGUAGAUGUUAGUAUGCGUGUACAGCAACGCCCACAGAGCUUUAGUUUUCACGUCUAACGGAGGAGGGCCUUGUAUACAUACUCUCACUUAAAUUUCUGUCUGUGCUAAUCUUUGGCUGUACUCAGUUCUAACUCAUACUUUACACUGGGGAUGUUCCCAGAGCCUUGGUGUCAGUUGGAAUAUUCUUAUUCUGUCACUAUUUUUUCACGCUAACUCAGUUUUUAGCACGCUUCACUCGAAAGACCUGGAACUCCUGCUGCUCUGUCAUGAUCCGGGCAGCGACCUCAGGAGUGUCACAGCUGCCUGCGGAUGAUUGUUUUCAUUGUUGCAAUGCAGCCGGUACACGAGGCGCGCACUUACUUACUAGCAUUAACUACACUACAGUUUGGGGCAGAAGGUGGAGUAAUUCCCUGUGCUGUCCUAGGCUGCGGCUGAAUCAACCCAAAUGUGAAUGCUUGGAGCACCUUCAUCACAGGAGGACUCGUGCGCUGCUGGGGGCCUACAGCAGGAGUUACAGGGCUGCGCCAGCCCUGCAGCAUUCGUACUUAACACGAAACUGGGCGGCCAGCCCUGAAAAGGGAAAACCCAAGAGCCAUCCAAAUGGAACUGUUCAGAGGAGUUUAAUUUAAUUGCUCCGCUCAUCUAGUUGAUCUCUUCGUGCUACUUUAAUUCCGUUCUGGGGUGCGAGUGUUGUAGCUGGCCGACCACGCGGUCACCAGGCUGAAGGAAAAGCAAAGCUGAGUUUUAAUCUUUAGUUUCUGGAUUUUUCCUUUGAGACUUACUUCAUGGGAGGGUCUGACAAAGUUGCUGUGAAUAUUGAUGCUGUGUAUAUGGCACAUUUUGUAAACGUGAAGCAAACCUGGAUGAAUGUUUUGUAUACUGCGACAGUAGCAUUGUAAUCCUGCUCCUUUUUUAUUCUAAAUAAAUAAAUAAAGUACUUGUUUGUAA
Gymnogyps californianus (California condor) is the source of this 6311-nucleotide RNA transcript. It is a transcript of the gene named general transcription factor IIIC subunit 4, with no coding region annotated. The record is from RefSeq and is a predicted model, not a curated record. NCBI's taxonomy places the organism in Eukaryota, Metazoa, Chordata, Aves, Accipitriformes, Cathartidae. The transcript has 6 exons.